AUUGAACGCUGGCGGCAGGCUUAACACAUGCAAGUCGAGCGGGGUGAUGGUGCUUGCACUAUCACUUAGCGGCGGACGGGUGAGUAAUGCUUAGGAAUCUGCCUAUUAGUGGGGGACAACAUCUCGAAAGGGAUGCUAAUACCGCAUACGUACUACGGGAGAAAGCAGGGGAUCACUUGUGACCUUGCGCUAAUAGAGGUGCCUAAGUCGGAUUAGGUAGUUGGUGGGGUAAAGGCCUAACAAGGCGACGAUCUGUAGCGGGGCUGAGGGGAUGAUCCGCCACACUUGGACUGAGACACGGCCCAGGCUCCUACGGGAGGCAGCAGUGGGGAAUAUUGGAAAAUGGGGGGAACCCUGAUCCAGCCAUGCCGCGUGUGUGAAGAAGGCCUUAUGGUUGUAAAGCACUUUAAGCGAGGAGGAGGCUCUUUUGGUUAAUACCCAAGAUGAGUGGACGUUACUCGCAGAAUAAGCACCGGCUAACUCUGUGCCAGCAGCCGCGGUAA
This 503-nucleotide ribosomal RNA is filed under the name uncultured bacterium. RNAcentral's name for it is "partial 16S ribosomal RNA". It matches the Rfam family "Bacterial small subunit ribosomal RNA", at positions 30 to 523 of the family's 1533-position model. The record is from RNAcentral.